RNAcentral lists this ribosomal RNA (433 nucleotides) under uncultured bacterium. RNAcentral describes it as "partial 16S ribosomal RNA". It matches the Rfam family "Bacterial small subunit ribosomal RNA", at positions 29 to 507 of the family's 1533-position model. The record is from RNAcentral.
AACGAACGCUGGCGGCAUGCCUAACACAUGCAAGUCGAACGAGACCUUCGGGUCUAGUGGCGCACGGGUGCGUAACGCGUGGGAACCUGCACUUAGGUUCGGAAUAACUCCCCGAAAGGGGUGCUAAUACCGGAUAAUGUCUUCGGACCAAAGAUUUAUCGCCUUUGGAUGGGCCCGCGUUGGAUUAGCUAGUUGGUAGGGUAAAAGCCUACCAAGGCGACGAUCCAUAGCUGGUCUGAGAGGAUGAUCAGCCACACUGGGACUGAGACACGGCCCAGACUCCUACGGGAUGCAGCAGUGGGGAAUAUUGGACAAUGGGCGAAAGCCUGAUCCAGCAAUGCCGCGUGAGUGAUGAAGGCCUUAGGGUUGUAAAGCUCUUUUACCCGGGAUGAUAAUGACAGUACCGGGAGAAUAAGCUCCGGCUAACUCCGUG